Phasianus colchicus (ring-necked pheasant) is the source of this 1845-nucleotide long non-coding RNA. NCBI's taxonomy places the organism in Eukaryota, Metazoa, Chordata, Aves, Galliformes, Phasianidae. The record is from Ensembl.
AUUACAUAUAAAUGGUUACUAGUGCACGCUCUGAUGAAAAAUCUUUUUUUCCAAAGAAGUAUUCUUCUGAUAACAGGGGAUAAAUGAAAACUUUCAGCGUUUGCUUUUGCUAACGUGAUGGGGCUUUUAAAUUGCCAUUUAAGUGACAUGUACUGCUAGAGAUUUUUUUUCGGGGACUGUAAGAACAUCACUCUCAGUGGCAAUGGCACUGCCAGCACUGAUGACAUGAGGCAAGGUAGACCUGUGACAGCUGUAGGGUGAGGGAUUUUUUGAAGUAGGAUAUGCUUUUUUUUGAGUUGGCCAGUGUUGUUUGGGAAAGGAGUCAAUUUUUACUAAGUAUGCUAUAGGUACAGAAUGCACACAUUAGUAUCAUGUUCCUCAUUGAACCUGCAAAUAUAGUAAUACAUUGCACUUUUCUUUUCUUUCCUAGGUAGGUCAGCAAGGACUAGUGCCAAAUGCAGGAAGAGGAGGAGUCAUUUUGUCCAAAAUUGUGCCAAGAUUUUCAUAAAGUAAAUUAAAUCCUGGAGAUGUUCCAGAAGACAAUCAAAGUUUGGCUAUGUGACCAUCAGCAACAAUAGUGGUGAAUAUAGAAUGGCAUCAUUUCAUCUCAUGCUCUGAAAGUGACAAGUGACACUGUGGCACUGACUUUAUUGUAUUAGCCUGUGCUGGCUGUGCUGAAUUUAUAAACCAUGCAGCGACUUUCUUUGGCUUUACCUCGCACAACAGAAAGUGAAGUAAGAAAGCACAGGGAAGCUAAUACUUUUCAAGAGAAUCAUCUUUUUGGGUUGAUUUGGAAGGUUGAAGGAGGAGCCAAGAUAACAAAAAUCUAUUUCAAGUAAAUAAGUAUCUUUACUUUGCAACUGUUACCAAUGGGUUCUGUGGGUGAUUUCAGAAAAUGAACAGAAGAUACAUCAGAUCUCUCCUGUACUUUGCAGGCAAAUACAAAAAUGAACCAGCCAGAAUCUGUGUUAAUAAGAACAAUAUGAAACAGAAUUUGAGUUAAUGUUACCUCUCGCCUUUCAGUAGAUUUAUUGACUUGAACGUUGUAUUAUGUGGUCUUAAUCAAUGUGGAUUCUAGUUGAUUUGUAGUGGAAACUGCUUCAAAAGCAGAAAAACUACAAAAUGCUUUACAGACAUAUUCAUAGGCUUGCCAAUAGCAGAGCCACAGGCAAAUAAUGUUCUUAUUGAAUGAAAAUAGGAGGAGAAAAGGCAGUAGAUAGAGUUCCAAACUUCUGAGAAACAAUUAGACCAGUACUGUGAGAAGAUAACAAUUCCAACUUAUGUGUUAUUAAGGUAUUAUAUUGAUGUACUCUAUAUCAUAUUAUACAUGCUAUUAAAUGGCUAGAUGAGUUCAUCAAUGACAAUUCUGGAACAGAGCAGUCCAUUGUUUCUAAAUUAACUUGAUAGUCAAGUUAGAAUUUGUAGAGUGUAGAGGGGAGUCUUUUAAAACUAUAUUUAUUCAGUAAUCAUUAAAUUAAUUUUAUCUAGGUGUUUUAAACAGUGUUUCAGUACUAUCACUAUCACCAGGCAAAGAACUGAUUAUGCCAGGUGCAUCAACUCACUACAAUAAUCAGAUCAAAACUUGUCUGCAAAGCAAGGUCAUAUCUAAAGCUUUUUGAAACAGGAGUUCAUGUGUGCAUCUAGUUGAUUCUACCUUUAUAACCUUUUACUGAUUCCACUGUUUAUGAGAAACAAAGUGUCGCAUGGAUGUUGACUUCCCAACUGACUUUUAAAGUAAGAAAACAGCAGUGAUUCAUGAACUUGGCAGGGAUUCUUUCAAAUAUGAGAUUAUUAGAAAAUAUGUACUACUUUAGAUACUGAAUUUCAUACUAAUAUUUCAGAAAA